RNAcentral lists this transfer RNA (76 nucleotides) under Bdellovibrionales bacterium. RNAcentral's name for it is "tRNA-His". It matches the Rfam family "tRNA". Rfam says of the family: Transfer RNA (tRNA) molecules are approximately 80 nucleotides in length. Their secondary structure includes four short double-helical elements and three loops (D, anti-codon, and T loops). RNAcentral also lists the same sequence under 1 other name. Lineage: Bacteria; Pseudomonadati; Bdellovibrionota; Bdellovibrionia; Bdellovibrionales. The record is from RNAcentral.
GUGACCGUAGUUCAGUUGGUAGAGCGCCAGAUUGUGAUUCUGGUUGUCGCCGGUUCGAGCCCGGUCGGUCACCCCA